UUUUGCAGAACACAGGAUAAAACCGCCACAUCCUGUGGCAACUCCUGUGCUAGCACAUCCUGUGCG
RNAcentral lists this small RNA (66 nucleotides) under Peribacillus simplex. RNAcentral's name for it is "Bacillus simplex Bacillaceae-1". It matches the Rfam family "Bacillaceae-1 RNA". The record is from RNAcentral. Lineage: Bacteria; Bacillati; Bacillota; Bacilli; Caryophanales; Bacillaceae.